GAUAGUUCAGCAGACUAACGCUGAUGAGCAAUAUUAAGUCUUUCGCUCCUAUCUGAUGUAUC
RNAcentral lists this small nucleolar RNA (62 nucleotides) under Homo sapiens (human). RNAcentral's name for it is "partial Z15 small nucleolar RNA". Lineage: Eukaryota; Metazoa; Chordata; Mammalia; Primates; Hominidae. The record is from RNAcentral.